GGGUGACUGCGUACCUUUUGUAUAAUGGGUCAGCGACUUAUAUUCUGUAGCAAGGUUAACCGUAUAGGGGAGCCGCAGGGAAACCGAGUCUUAACUGGGCGUUAAGUUGCAGGGUAUAGACCCGAAACCCGGUGAUCUAGCCAUGGGCAGGUUGAAGGUUGGGUAACACUAACUGGAGGACCGAACCGACUAAUGUUGAAAAAUUAGCGGAUGACUUGUGGCUGGGGGUGAAAGGCCAAUCAAACCGGGAGAUAGCUGGUUCUCCCCGAAAGCUAUUUAGGUAGCGCCUCGUGAACUCAUCUUCGGGGGUAGAGCACUGUUUCGGCUAGGGGGUCAUCCCGACUUACCAACCCGAUGCAAACUACGAAUACCGAAGAAUGUUAUCACGGGAGACACACGGCGGGUGCUAACGUCCGUCGUGAAGAGGGAAACAACCCAGACCGCCAGCUAAGGUCCCAAAGUCAUGGUUAAGUGGGAAACGAUGUGGGAAGGCCCAGACAGCCAGGAUGUUGGCUUAGAAGCAGCCAUCAUUUAAAGAAAGCGUAAUAGCUCACUGGUCGAGUCGGCCUGCGCGGAAGAUGUAACGGGGCUAAACCAUGCACCGAAGCUGCGGCAGCGACACUAUGUGUUGUUGGGUAGGGGAGCGUUCUGUAAGCCGUUGAAGGUGGCCUGUGAGGGUUGCUGGAGGUAUCAGAAGUGCGAAUGCUGACAUAAGUAACGAUAAUGCGGGUGAAAAACCCGCACGCCGGAAGACCAAGGGUUCCUGUCCAACGUUAAUCGGGGCAGGGUGAGUCGACCCCUAAGGCGAGGCCGAAAGGCGUAGUCGAUGGGAAACAGGUUAAUAUUCCUGUACUCGGUGUUACUGCGAAGGGGGGACGGAGAAGGCUAUGUUGGCCGGGCGACGGUUGUCCCGGUUUAAGCAUGUAGGCGGAUGUUCCAGGUAAAUCCGGAACGUCACUAACGCUGAGGUGUGAUGACGAGGCACUACGGUGCUGAAGUGACAAAUGCCCUGCUUCCAGGAAAAGCCUCUAAGCAUCAGGUAACAUCAAAUCGUACCCCAAACCGACACAGGUGGUCAGGUAGAGAAUACCAAGGCGCUUGAGAGAACUCGGGUGAAGGAACUAGGCAAAAUGGUGCCGUAACUUCGGGAGAAGGCACGCUGAUGGUAAGUGAAG
RNAcentral lists this ribosomal RNA (1175 nucleotides) under Klebsiella michiganensis. RNAcentral's name for it is "partial 23S ribosomal RNA". It matches the Rfam family "Bacterial large subunit ribosomal RNA", at positions 591 to 1766 of the family's 2925-position model. Lineage: Bacteria; Pseudomonadati; Pseudomonadota; Gammaproteobacteria; Enterobacterales; Enterobacteriaceae. The record is from RNAcentral.